CUUUCAUACUUUUCUGGACCUUGACAGUGUAAGUUACUUGGCAGCCAAUGGGACAGUCAAAAGUCUCCCGGUUUUCAUCCAAAAUAUCUUAAAUUGUGUUCCGAAGAUGAACGUAGCUUUUACGGGUUUGGAAUGACAUGGGGGUAAGUGAUUAAUGACAAAAUUUUCAUUUUAGGGUGGGGUAACCCUUAAAGGUUAUUAAUAAGGUAGUGUGCUCCAAAAUAAUGACAAAAUUCAUAUUUAGAAGAUAUAAGCAUGCAAAACUUAGUCUCUAACUUCCACCAAUAUAGAUCAAUGAUUUUGAUGACAUCAGCCCUGCAAUUUAGCUUCUCAUCAAACUUUCUGUCCAAUCAAAUGCUCUCUAGAAUCUUAAAGGUCCCAUCCCCUACAUUAUAAAUACAUGCUGAAACUGUGGCUGGAAUCGCUCACUUGUUUACAAAAUUUGUAUUUUCUGUAUGGUGAAUGGCAUGUAGUGUAUUAUAUAGGGGAUAUGGAACGAUUCAGACAGUUUAAAUAUGCUUUCCAUUGGGGAGAAUAAAGUCUGAUUUUGCACUGUUUCACGUGAACCGCCGCAGUGUGCACACAGUCUGCUCCAGCCCAGAGACAAGAUACACAAAAAACAGCCAGAGCUACAUGCAUCUUGUAUAUUGUGGUUUCAAAUAACAGGUGAUGCAUGCGACAUCAGUGUUUUUGACACCACAAGGUGAGAAAAAACACUUACAAGCAACUCAGUGCCUCCACUACUCUUUAGUUUAUACAGAGUUUUUUCACUGGUGAGACUGAUUAUAUUAAAGCACAUCAUGCAGAUUUUUUAAGAAUAUUUAAUUGGUAUGUACAGAAGAAGAUGACUUAUAACCCUAUCUCUAUCUCAGCUAAUGUGAAUGUGGGUAUAGUGAACAGCACAGAAGCAAAACCCCACUCCAGACCUUACAUGGUUUUUGUUUAGAAAAGCUGUAAACAUGUCUUGGUGGAUUCCUCAUUUCUGAUAGAUUUGUCAUGAAUCCAGCACAUUGCAGGAAGACGUAAGACUUCAAUUUAGUCUAAACUGCAAUGAUAAGUUAAAAUCAUUAUAUCAUAGUUUAAAGAUCUUGUUCAUUGCACUAAUAAGACUUUCUUACACAGAAAUAAGAAACUAACAGCUGUGAUUGGUGUGCAUGACUUAAAAAAAAAAAAAAAAAAGAAGGAGAUGAUUGCAUCAGAUUGAAGUCUUACUACAUGCAUCCAGACUUUAACAAUCGCACUUUGCAGAAUGACAUUAUGCUUUUGAGGCUAAAGAAAUAAGUUGAACAAAACAAGAUUGUCAAGACAAUUUCCAUACCAACACAAGAGGAAGACAUCAAAGCUGAUUCUGUUUGCAGUGUUGCCAGCUGAGGAAGACUAAGGUUUAAAGAGAAAUAGAGCACACGUCUCAUGGAAGCAGAUGUGAAGAUCAUGAAUAACACGGAAUGCAAAAAUAAAUGGAAAGACAACUACUCAGCCUCACAGAUGAUGUGUGUCUAUGGCCAUGGAGGUAGCUGUAGUGUAUGUAAAAACAAUAUCAAGUAGUGAGAAAUGUCACUUCAGUCAUGUGUUGAUCUGUGUUCAAAGGAAGAUUCAGGAGGUCCUUUGGUUUGUGGAGACACUGCAGUCAGUGUCACAUCCUUUGGUGACCCAAAAGUCUGCAAUAGUCAUGAAAGACCUGAAGUUUAUGCAAAGAUUUCAGAAUAUCUUCCAUGGAUCUGGUCCAUAAUUGCAAAUGUUAAGUAAUUUUUGCAAUGAGAAAGGAUGAAUUUGUUUAAAUGUUCAAUAAAAAAAAUGAUGUGUCAAGCAUCAAUAUGUGUAAGUGG
Cyprinus carpio carpio is the source of this 1826-nucleotide long non-coding RNA. Lineage: Eukaryota; Metazoa; Chordata; Actinopteri; Cypriniformes; Cyprinidae. The record is from Ensembl.